RNAcentral lists this ribosomal RNA (465 nucleotides) under Vreelandella stevensii. RNAcentral describes it as "partial 16S ribosomal RNA". It matches the Rfam family "Bacterial small subunit ribosomal RNA", at positions 338 to 795 of the family's 1533-position model. Lineage: Bacteria; Pseudomonadati; Pseudomonadota; Gammaproteobacteria; Oceanospirillales; Halomonadaceae. The record is from RNAcentral.
CCUACGGGGGGCUGCAGUGGGGAAUAUUGGACAAUGGGGGGAACCCUGAUCCAGCCAUGCCGCGUGUGUGAAGAAGGCCCUCGGGUUGUAAAGCACUUUCAGUGAGGAAGAACGCCUGGUGGUUAAUACCCAUCAGGAAAGACAUCACUCACAGAAGAAGCACCGGCUAACUCCGUGCCAGCAGCCUCGGUAAUACGGAGGGUGCGAGCGUUAAUCGGAAUUACUGGGCGUAAAGCGCGCGUAGGUGGCUUGAUAAGCCGGUUGUGAAAGCCCCGGGCUCAACCUGGGAACGGCAUCCGGAACUGUCAAGCUAGAGUGCAGGAGAGGAAGGUAGAAUUCCCGGUGUAGCGGUGAAAUGCGUAGAGAUCGGGAGGAAUACCAGUGGCGAAGGCGGCCUUCUGGACUGACACUGACACUGAGGUGCGAAAGCGUGGGUAGCAAACAGGAUUAGAUACCCGAGUAGUC